RNAcentral lists this transfer RNA (69 nucleotides) under Ovis aries (sheep). It matches the Rfam family "tRNA". From Rfam's summary of the family: Transfer RNA (tRNA) molecules are approximately 80 nucleotides in length. Their secondary structure includes four short double-helical elements and three loops (D, anti-codon, and T loops). Further hydrogen bonds mediate the characteristic L-shaped molecular structure. tRNAs have two regions of fundamental functional importance: the anti-codon, which is responsible for specific mRNA codon recognition, and the 3' end, to which the tRNAs corresponding amino acid is attached (by aminoacyl-tRNA synthetases). tRNAs cope with the degeneracy of the genetic code in two manners: having more than one tRNA (with a specific anti-codon) for a particular amino acid; and 'wobble' base-pairing, i.e. permitting non-standard base-pairing at the 3rd anti-codon position. Lineage: Eukaryota; Metazoa; Chordata; Mammalia; Artiodactyla; Bovidae. The record is from Rfam by way of RNAcentral.
CCUGAUGGAUCUGAAUGUAAAGAAUCUGUCUUUAAAGCAGGAGAUCCGGGUUCCAUCCCUGGAUAAGGA